AUUGAACGCUGGCGGACUGCUUUACACAUGCAAGUCGAACGGUAGAGGGGGCAACCCCUUGAGAGUGGCGAACGGGUGAGUAAUAUAUCGGAACGUGCCCAGUCGUGGGGAUAACGUAGCGAAAGUUACGCUAAUACCGCAUACGAUCUAAGGAUGAAAGCGGGGGAUCGCAAGACCUCGCGCGAUUGGAGCGGCCGAUAUCAGAUUAGGUAGUUGGUGGGGUAAAGGCUCACCAAGCCAACGAUCUGUAGCUGGUCUGAGAGGACGACCAGCCACACUGGAACUGAGACACGGUCCAGACUCCUACGGGAGGCAGCAGUGGGGAAUUUUGGACAAUGGACGCAAGUCUGAUCCAGCCAUUCCGCGUGCAGGAUGAAGGCCCUCGGGUUGUAAACUGCUUUGUACGGAACGAAAAGGUUUCUCUUAAUACGAGGAGCUCAUGACGGUACCGUAAGAAUAAGCACCGGCUAACUACGUGCCAGCAGCCG
This 488-nucleotide ribosomal RNA is filed under the name uncultured bacterium. RNAcentral describes it as "bacterial SSU rRNA". It matches the Rfam family "Bacterial small subunit ribosomal RNA", at positions 30 to 517 of the family's 1533-position model. The record is from RNAcentral.